RNAcentral lists this long non-coding RNA (388 nucleotides) under Chinchilla lanigera (long-tailed chinchilla). RNAcentral's name for it is "lncRNA (ENSCLAG00000028443.1)". The record is from RNAcentral. Lineage: Eukaryota; Metazoa; Chordata; Mammalia; Rodentia; Chinchillidae.
GAUGAAGACAGCCAUGCUCUUUGUGCGGAUGGAUAAAAGGCUUCCAUUCAUACAUCAGCUGGACUUUUUGGGCCUGUCUUGGAGACCCUGCCAGUGCAGAGAGCAAUCCUACUUCCAUUCCAAUUAUGCGGAUCCUGGGUGUUCCCCUCGACAAAAGCCAACCUCGCCCUCACCUGUCUUGGCAGAACCGGACAUUCAACUCUUAUGAAGACCCCACUCGGGCUGUUCUAACCCAUGGACACCCCCUCCCAGAAAAUGUUCUGGCCCGUGAACACCCUCCCCAAAAGACAAUUUAAAAACCCCAUGCUUUGCUCAGCUCAGGGCUGUCCUAGUCUGCUGGGCAGCCCGCCAUGUCACUCUCCCCAAUAAAGACUCUUCUCGUGUCAAA